GGUCAAGUGAAGAAGCGCAUACGGUGGAUGCCUUGGCAGUCAGAGGCGAUGAAAGACGUGGUAGCCUGCGAAAAGCUUCGGGGAGUCGGCAAACAGACUUUGAUCCGGAGAUGUCUGAAUGGGGGAACCCAGCCAUCAUAAGAUGGUUAUCUUGUACUGAAUACAUAGGUGCAAGAGGCGAACCAGGGGAACUGAAACAUCUAAGUACCCUGAGGAAAAGAAAUCAACCGAGAUUCCCUUAGUAGUGGCGAGCGAACGGGGACUAGCCCUUAAGUGGCUUUGAGAUUAGCGGAACGCUCUGGAAAGUGCGGCCAUAGUGGGUGAUAGCCCUGUACGCGAAAGUCUCUUAGUCAUGAAAUCGAGUAGGACGGAGCACGAGAAACUUUGUCUGAAUAUGGGGGGACCAUCCUCCAAGGCUAAAUACUACUGACUGACCGAUAGUGAACUAGUACCGUGAGGGAAAGGCGAAAAGAACCCCGGAGAGGGGAGUGAAAUAGAUCCUGAAACCGUAUGCGUACAAGCAGUGGGAGCAGACUUUGUUCUGUGACUGCGUACCUUUUGUAUAAUGGGUCAGCGACUUAUUUUCAGUGGCGAGCUUAACCGAAUAGGGGAGGCGUAGCGAAAGCGAGUCUUAAUAGGGCGUCUAGUCGCUGGGAAUAGACCCGAAACCGGGCGAUCUAUCCAUGGGCAGGUUGAAGGUUAGGUAACACUGACUGGAGGACCGAACCGACUACCGUUGAAAAGUUAGCGGAUGACCUGUGGAUCGGAGUGAAAGGCUAAUCAAGCUCGGAGAUAGCUGGUUCUCCUCGAAAGCUAUUUAGGUAGCGCCUCAUGUAUCACUGUAGGGGGUAGAGCACUGUUUCGGCUAGGGGGUCAUCCCGACUUACCAAACCGAUGCAAACUCCGAAUACCUACAAGUGCCGAGCAUGGGAGACACACGGCGGGUGCUAACGUCCGUCGUGAAAAGGGAAACAACCCAGACCGUCAGCUAAGGUCCCAAAGUUAUGGUUAAGUGGGAAACGAUGUGGGAAGGCUUAGACAGCUAGGAGGUUGGCUUAGAAGCAGCCACCCUUUAAAGAAAGCGUAAUAGCUCACUAGUCGAGUCGGCCUGCGCGGAAGAUGUAACGGGGCUCAAACCAUACACCGAAGCUACGGGUAUCACGUAAGUGAUGCGGUAGAGGAGCGUUCUGUAAGCCUGUGAAGGUGAGUUGAGAAGCUUGCUGGAGGUAUCAGAAGUGCGAAUGCUGACAUGAGUAACGACAAUGGGUGUGAAAAACACCCACGCCGAAAGACCAAGGUUUCCUGCGCAACGUUAAUCGACGCAGGGUUAGUCGGUCCCUAAGGCGAGGCUGAAAAGCGUAGUCGAUGGAAAACAGGUUAAUAUUCCUGUACUUCUGGUUAUUGCGAUGGAGGGACGGAGAAGGCUAGGCCAGCUUGGCGUUGGUUGUCCAAGUUUAAGGUGGUAGGCUGAGAUCUUAGGUAAAUCCGGGAUCUUAAGGCCGAGAGCUGAUGACGAGUUACCUUUCAGGUGACGAAGUGGUUGAUGCCAUGCUUCCAAGAAAAGCUUCUAAGCUUCAGAUAAUCAGGAACCGUACCCCAAACCGACACAGGUGGUUGGGUAGAGAAUACCAAGGCGCUUGAGAGAACUCGGGUGAAGGAACUAGGCAAAAUGGCACCGUAACUUCGGGAGAAGGUGCGCCGGUGAGGGUGAAGGACUUGCUCCGUAAGCUCAUGCCGGUCGAAGAUACCAGGCCGCUGCGACUGUUUAUUAAAAACACAGCACUCUGCAAACACGAAAGUGGACGUAUAGGGUGUGACGCCUGCCCGGUGCCGGAAGGUUAAUUGAUGGGGUUAGCUAACGCGAAGCUCUUGAUCGAAGCCCCGGUAAACGGCGGCCGUAACUAUAACGGUCCUAAGGUAGCGAAAUUCCUUGUCGGGUAAGUUCCGACCUGCACGAAUGGCGUAACGAUGGCGGCGCUGUCUCCACCCGAGACUCAGUGAAAUUGAAAUCGCUGUGAAGAUGCAGUGUAUCCGCGGCUAGACGGAAAGACCCCGUGAACCUUUACUAUAGCUUUGCACUGGACUUUGAAUUUGCUUGUGUAGGAUAGGUGGGAGGCUUUGAAGCGUGGACGCCAGUUCGCGUGGAGCCAUCCUUGAAAUACCACCCUGGCAACUUUGAGGUUCUAACUCAGGUCCGUUAUCCGGAUCGAGGACAGUGUAUGGUGGGUAGUUUGACUGGGGCGGUCUCCUCCUAAAGAGUAACGGAGGAGUACGAAGGUGCGCUCAGACCGGUCGGAAAUCGGUCGUAGAGUAUAAAGGCAAAAGCGCGCUUGACUGCGAGACAGACACGUCGAGCAGGUACGAAAGUAGGUCUUAGUGAUCCGGUGGUUCUGUAUGGAAGGGCCAUCGCUCAACGGAUAAAAGGUACUCCGGGGAUAACAGGCUGAUACCGCCCAAGAGUUCAUAUCGACGGCGGUGUUUGGCACCUCGAUGUCGGCUCAUCACAUCCUGGGGCUGAAGCCGGUCCCAAGGGUAUGGCUGUUCGCCAUUUAAAGUGGUACGCGAGCUGGGUUUAGAACGUCGUGAGACAGUUCGGUCCCUAUCUGCCGUGGACGUUUGAGAUUUGAGAGGGGCUGCUCCUAGUACGAGAGGACCGGAGUGGACGAACCUCUGGUGUUCCGGUUGUCACGCCAGUGGCAUUGCCGGGUAGCUAUGUUCGGGAAAGAUAACCGCUGAAAGCAUCUAAGCGGGAAACUUGCCUCAAGAUGAGAUCUCACUGGAACCUUGAGUUCCCUGAAGGGCCGUCGAAGACUACGACGUUGAUAGGUUGGGUGUGUAAGCGCUGUGAGGCGUUGAGCUAACCAAUACUAAUUGCCCGUGAGGCUUGACCAU
RNAcentral lists this ribosomal RNA (2892 nucleotides) under Pseudomonas sp. AO-1. Its description in RNAcentral is "23S ribosomal RNA". It matches the Rfam family "Bacterial large subunit ribosomal RNA". Lineage: Bacteria; Pseudomonadati; Pseudomonadota; Gammaproteobacteria; Pseudomonadales; Pseudomonadaceae. The record is from RNAcentral.